AAGGCUUUAAGUUAAUUAAACUAAUAGUCUUCAAAAUUAUAAAUAAAGAAAAUUUCUUUAAGCCUUA
RNAcentral lists this transfer RNA (67 nucleotides) under Neopanorpa chelata. RNAcentral's name for it is "tRNA-Trp". Lineage: Eukaryota; Metazoa; Arthropoda; Insecta; Mecoptera; Panorpidae. RNAcentral also lists the same sequence under 6 other names. The record is from RNAcentral.